UUCGGAUUGGAGUCUGNAACCCGACUCCAUGAAGCUGGAUUCGCUAGUAAUCGCGCAUCAGCCACGGCGCGGUGAAUACGUUCCCGGGCCUUGUACACACCGCCCGUCAAGCCAUGGAAGCCGGGAGUGCCUGAAGUGCGUGACCGCAAGGAGCGCCCUAAGGCAAUACCGGUGACUGGGGCUAAGUCGUAACAAGGUACC
This 201-nucleotide ribosomal RNA is filed under the name uncultured bacterium. RNAcentral's name for it is "partial 16S ribosomal RNA". It matches the Rfam family "Bacterial small subunit ribosomal RNA", at positions 1292 to 1500 of the family's 1533-position model. The record is from RNAcentral.